This 639-nucleotide ribosomal RNA is filed under the name Nebria arinae. RNAcentral's name for it is "partial large subunit ribosomal RNA". The stretch from base 390 to 549 matches the Rfam family "Bacterial large subunit ribosomal RNA", at positions 2473 to 2632 of the family's 2925-position model. The record is from RNAcentral. RNAcentral also lists the same sequence under 1 other name. Lineage: Eukaryota; Metazoa; Arthropoda; Insecta; Coleoptera; Carabidae.
GUCCUUUAGAUAUUAAUUUAAGGUCUAACCUGCCCACUGAAUUAUUUUUAAAUGGCCGCAGUAAUUUGACUGUGCAAAGGUAGCAUAAUCAUUAGUUUUUUAAUUAAAAGCUUGUAUGAAAGGUUGGACGAAGUAAAAUCUGUCUCUAAUUAAAUUAAUUUAGAAUUUAACUUUUAAGUUAAAAGGCUUAAAUUUAACUAAAAGACGAGAAGACCCUAUAGAUCUUUAUAUCUUAAUUAUUAGAUUUAAUUAUGAAUUUUUUAAAUUUUAUUAGUAAAGUUAUUUUAUUGGGGUAAUAUAAAGAUUAAAAUAAUUCUUUUUUUUUAUUUACAUUAAUUUAUGAGUUUUAUGAUCCAAUUUUAUUGAUUAAAAGAUUAAGUUACCUUAGGGAUAACAGCGUAAUUUUUUUAGAGAGUUCUUAUCGAUAAAAAAGUUUGCGACCUCGAUGUUGGAUUAAAGAUUAUUUUAGGUGCAGAAGUUUAAAAAUUUUGGUCUGUUCGACCAUUAAAUCUUUACAUGAUCUGAGUUCAGACCGGUGUAAGCCAGGUCGGUUUCUAUCUUUAGUAAAUUAAAAUAUUUUAGUACGAAAGGACCAAUUAUUUGAUAUAUUAAUAUUUAUAAUUUUUGUUUAUUAUUAAA